UACGAAGGGUGCUAGCGUUACUCGGAAUUACUGGGCGUAAAGAGCGCGUAGGCGGCUUGAUAAGUUGGAAGUGAAAUCCCAGAGCUCAACUCUGGAAUUGCUUUCAAAACUAUUUGGCUAGAGAUUGGUAGGGGACAGUGGAAUUCCUAGUGUAGAGGUGAAAUUCGUAGAUAUUAGGAGGAACACCGGUGGCGAAGGCGACUGUCUGGGCCAAAUCUGACGCUGUGGCGCGAAAGCGUGGGGAGCAAAC
RNAcentral lists this ribosomal RNA (250 nucleotides) under uncultured bacterium. Its description in RNAcentral is "partial 16S ribosomal RNA". It matches the Rfam family "Bacterial small subunit ribosomal RNA", at positions 524 to 773 of the family's 1533-position model. The record is from RNAcentral.